ACUCAAAUGAAUUGACGGGGGCCCGCACAAGCGGUGGAGCAUGUGGUUCAAUUCGACGCAACGCGCAGAACCUUACCUGGGUUAAAUCCACUCGAACCUUGCAGAGAUGCGGGGGUGCUCUUCGGAGAGCGAGUGAGAAGGUGCUGCAUGGCUGUCGUCAGCUCGUGUCGUGAGAUGUUGGGUUAAGUCCCGCAACGAGCGCAACCUCUGUCGUUAGUUGCCAGCAUUAAGUUGGGCACUCUAACGAGACUGCCGCCGUCAAGGCGGAGGAAGGCGGAGAUGACGUCAAGUCCUCAUGGCCCUUAUGUCCAGGGCUACACACGUGCUACAAUGGAUGCCACAAAGGGUUGCAAAGCCGCGAGGUGGAGCCAAUCUCAAAAAAGCAUCCUCAGUUCGGAUUGCAGUCUGCAACUCGACUGCAUGAAGCUGGAAUCGCUAGUAAUCCCUGAUCAGCAGGCAGGGGUGAAUACGUUCCCGGGCCUUGUACACACCGCCCGU
This 498-nucleotide ribosomal RNA is filed under the name uncultured bacterium. Its description in RNAcentral is "partial 16S ribosomal RNA". It matches the Rfam family "Bacterial small subunit ribosomal RNA", at positions 899 to 1397 of the family's 1533-position model. The record is from RNAcentral.